UCCUGGCUCAGGACGAACGCUGGCGGCGUGCCUAAUACAUGCAAGUCGAGCGGAGUUGAUGAGGUGCUUGCACCUCUGAUGCUUAGCGGCGGACGGGUGAGUAACACGUAGGUAACCUGCCCGACAGACCGGGAUAACAUUCGGAAACGAAUGCUAAUACCGGAUACGCGAUAUCCUCGCAUGGGGAAAUCGGGAAAGACGGAGCAAUCUGUCACUGUUGGAUGGACCUGCGGCGCAUUAGCUAGUUGGUGAGGUAACGGCUCACCAAGGCGACGAUGCGUAGCCGACCUGAGAGGGUGAUCGGCCACACUGGGACUGAGACACGGCCCAGACUCCUACGGGAGGCAGCAGUAGGGAAUCUUCCGCAAUGGGCGAAAGCCUGACGGAGCAACGCCGCGUGAGUGAUGAAGGUUUUCGGAUCGUAAAGCUCUGUUGC
Molecule: ribosomal RNA, 436 nt
Filed under: Paenibacillus sp. R-27048
Lineage: Bacteria; Bacillati; Bacillota; Bacilli; Caryophanales; Paenibacillaceae
Description: bacterial SSU rRNA
Rfam family: Bacterial small subunit ribosomal RNA
Source: RNAcentral